This 75-nucleotide transfer RNA is filed under the name Alosa alosa (allis shad). Its description in RNAcentral is "tRNA-OTHER". It matches the Rfam family "tRNA". Rfam says of the family: Transfer RNA (tRNA) molecules are approximately 80 nucleotides in length. The record is from RNAcentral. Lineage: Eukaryota; Metazoa; Chordata; Actinopteri; Clupeiformes; Clupeidae.
GCGGUGGUAGCCUAGUGGUUAAGGACCUGGGCUAGCAAGCCAGAAAAGUUGUGGGUUCAAUUCCCAGCUUCCUUG